This 505-nucleotide ribosomal RNA is filed under the name uncultured soil bacterium. Its description in RNAcentral is "bacterial SSU rRNA". It matches the Rfam family "Bacterial small subunit ribosomal RNA", at positions 26 to 523 of the family's 1533-position model. The record is from RNAcentral.
AGAUUGAACGCUGGCGGCAUGCCUUACACAUGCAAGUCGAACGGCAGCACGGGAGCAAUCCUGGUGGCGAGUGGCGAACGGGUGAGUAAUACAUCGGAACGUGCCCAGUUGUGGGGGGAUAGCCCGGCGAAAGCCGGAUUAAUACCGCAUACGACCUACGGGUGAAAGCGGGGGAUCGCAAGACCUCGCGCUAUUGGAGCGGCCGAUGUCGGAUUAGCUUGUUGGUAGGGUAAAAGCCUACCAAGGCUACGAUCCGUAGCUGGUCUGAGAGGACGACCAGCCACACUGGGACUGAGACACGGCCCAGACUCCUACGGGAGGCAGCAGUGGGGAAUUUGGACAAUGGGCGCAAGCCUGAUCCAGCCAUGCCGCGUGCGGGAAGAGGCCUUCGGGUUGUAAACCGCUUUGUCAGGAAGAACGGUUCGAGUCUAAUACCUUGAGCUAAUGACGUACUACGAAGAAUAAGCACCGACUAACGUACGUACGCCGAGUACGCCGACGGUAA